GAUGAAGAACGCAGCGAAAUGCGAUAAGUAGUGUGAAUUGCAGAAUUCAGUGAAUCAUCGAAUCUUUGAACGCACAUUGCGCCCCUCGGUAUUCCGUGGGGCAUGCCUGUUCGAGCGUCAUUUACCCCUCAAGCACUGCUUGGUGUUGGGCGUCUGUCCCGCUUCGCGCGCGGACUCGCCCCAAAGGUAUUGGCAGCGAUCGUGCCAGCUUCUCGCGCAGCACAUUGCGCUUCUCGAGGCGGUCGAUCGGCGUCCACGAAGCUCACCUCCACCGUUUGACCUCGGAUCAGGUAGGGAUACCCGCUGAACUUAAGCAUAUCAAUAAGCGGAGGA
This 333-nucleotide unclassified non-coding RNA is filed under the name soil metagenome. RNAcentral describes it as "partial contains 5.8S ribosomal RNA, internal transcribed spacer 2, and large subunit ribosomal RNA". The stretch from base 1 to 120 matches the Rfam family "5.8S ribosomal RNA", at positions 35 to 154 of the family's 154-position model. The record is from RNAcentral.